RNAcentral lists this ribosomal RNA (497 nucleotides) under uncultured bacterium. RNAcentral describes it as "partial 16S ribosomal RNA". It matches the Rfam family "Bacterial small subunit ribosomal RNA", at positions 28 to 507 of the family's 1533-position model. The record is from RNAcentral.
GAUGAACGCUGGCGGCGUGCCUAAUACAUGCAAGUCGAGCGAACGGACGAGAAGCUUGCUUCUCUGAUGUUAGCGGCGGACGGGUGAGUAACACGUGGAUAACCUACCUAUAAGACUGGGAUAACUUCGGGAAACCGGAGCUAAUACCGGAUAAUAUUUUGAACCGCAUGGUUCAAAAGUGAAAGACGGUCUUGCUGUCACUUAUAGAUGGAUCCGCGCUGCAUUAGCUAGUUGGUAAGGUAACGGCUUACCAAGGCAACGAUGCAUAGCCGACCUGAGAGGGUGAUCGGCCACACUGGAACUGAGACACGGUCCAGACUCCUACAGGAGGCAGCAGUAGGGAAUCUUCCGCAAAGGGCGAAAGCCUGACGGAGCAACGCCGCGUGAGUGAUGAAGGUCUUCGGAUCGUAAAACUCUGUUAUUAGGGGAGAACAUAUGUGUAAGUAACUGUGCACAUCUUGACGGUACCUAAUCAGAAAGCCACGGCUAACUACGUG